RNAcentral lists this ribosomal RNA (450 nucleotides) under uncultured bacterium. RNAcentral's name for it is "partial 16S ribosomal RNA". It matches the Rfam family "Bacterial small subunit ribosomal RNA", at positions 354 to 796 of the family's 1533-position model. The record is from RNAcentral.
GUGGGGAAUUUUGGACAAUGGGGGCAACCCUGAUCCAGCAAUGCCGCGUGCAGGAAGAAGGCCUUCGGGUUGUAAACUGCUUUUGUACGGAACGAAACGGUCCUGGUUAAUACCUGGGGCUAAUGACGGUACCGUAAGAAUAAGCACCGGCUAACUACGUGCCAGCAGCCGCGGUAAUACGUAGGGUGCAAGCGUUAAUCGGAAUUACUGGGCGUAAAGCGUGCGCAGGCGGUUUUGUAAGACAGGCGUGAAAUCCCCGGGCUCAACCUGGGAAUGGCGCUUGUGACUGCAAGGCUGGAGUGCGGCAGAGGGGGAUGGAAUUCCGCGUGUAGCAGUGAAAUGCGUAGAUAUGCGGAGGAACACCGAUGGCGAAGGCAAUCCCCUGGGCCUGCACUGACGCUCAUGCACGAAAGCGUGGGGAGCAAACAGGAUUAGAUACCCGUGUAGUCC